ACCAGGAUGGCCGAGAGGUUAAGGCGUUUGACUUAAGAUCCAAUGGACAUGUGGGUUCGAACCCCACUCCUGGUA
Salmo salar (Atlantic salmon) is the source of this 75-nucleotide non-coding RNA. NCBI's taxonomy places the organism in Eukaryota, Metazoa, Chordata, Actinopteri, Salmoniformes, Salmonidae. The record is from Rfam.